This 1337-nucleotide ribosomal RNA is filed under the name uncultured bacterium. Its description in RNAcentral is "bacterial SSU rRNA". It matches the Rfam family "Bacterial small subunit ribosomal RNA". The record is from RNAcentral.
AGAGUUUGAUCAUGGCUCAGAACGUACGCUGGCGGCACGCCUAACACAUGCAAGUCGAACGAAGUAGCAAUACUUAGUGGCAGACGGGUGAGUAACAUGUGGGUAUCUGCCCUUUGGCCUGGAAUAACACGAGGAAACUUGUGCUAAUACCGGAUAAGUCUUUACAGAGAAAGCUUUAUACACCAUUGGAUGAGCCCGCACUUGAUUAGUUUGUUGGUAGGGUAAUGGCCUACCAAGACUGUGAUCAAUAGCUGAUUUGAGAGGAUGAUCAGCCACAUUGGGACUGAGACACGGCCCAAACUCCUACGGGAGGCAGCAGUGGGGAAUCUUGCACAAUGGAGGAAACUCUGAUGCAGCGAUGCCGCGUGAGUGAAGAAGGCCUUUGGGUUGUAAAGCUCUUUCGUCGGGGAAGAAAAUGACUGUACCCGAAUAAGAAGGUCCGGCUAACUUCGUGCCAGCAGCCGCGGUAAUACGAAGGGACCUAGCGUAGUUCGGAAUUACUGGGCUUAAAGAGUUCGUAGGUGGUUGAAAAAGUUGGUGGUGAAAUCCCAGAGCUUAACUCUGGAACUGCCAUCAAAACUUUUCAGCUAGAGUAUGAUAGAGGAAAGCAGAAUUUCUAGUGUAGAGGUGAAAUUCGUAGAUAUUAGAAAGAAUACCAAUUGCGAAGGCAGCUUUCUGGAUCAUUACUGACACUGAGGAACGAAAGCAUGGGUAGCGAAGAGGAUUAGAUACCCUCGUAGUCCAUGCCGUAAACGAUGUGUGUUAGACGUUGGAAAUUUAUUUUCAGUGUCGCAGCGAAAGCGAUAAACACACCGCCUGGGGAGUACGACCGCAAGGUUAAAACUCAAAUGAAUUGACGGGGACCCGCACAAGUAGUGGAGCAUGUGGUUUAAUUCGAAGAUACGCGCAGAACCUUACCAACACUUGACAUGUUCGUCGCGACUCUAAGAGAUUAGAGUUUUCGGUUCGGCCGGACGAAACACAGGUGCUGCAUGGCUGUCGUCAGCUCGUGUCGUGAGAUGUUGGGUUAAGUCCCGCAACGAGCGCAACCCUCACUUUUAGUUGCCAUCAUUAAGUUGGGCACUCUGAAAGAACUGCCAGUGAUAAGCUGGAGGAAGGUGGGGAUGACGUCAAGUCCUCAUGGCCCUUACGUGUUGGGCUACACACGUGCUACAAUGGUAUCUACAACAGGAAGCAAAACUGCGAAGUUAAGCAAAUCCUUAAAAGAUACCUCAGUUCGGAUUGCACUCUGCAACUCGAGUGCAUGAAGCUGGAAUUACUAGUAAUCGUGGAUCAGCGUGCCACGGUGAAUGCGUUCCCGGGUCUUGUACACACCG